CUUCACAAAUUUAUUCCUUUCAGAAAAUAACUUACAUUCCAGAACACACACAUUGUGACAGCAUAUUUCCAGUGUUCCUUUUCUUGUAAUUUUUCUUAAGUUGCAUUUACACAGGAAGCCCAAUUCUGAUCUUUUGGCCCCAAUAUUGGCAAAAGAUCUGAUCUGAUUGGGCAAGAGAUCAGAAUUGGGCAACCGGUGUGAACGUAGCCUUACACACAGUAAAGAGGUUAGACAUUGCAUUAUCAGAAGGAUUUCUGGCGGAUAUAUUUACACGUACAGUACAUUCAGAUCAACAUCAUAAAAAGGUCCAUCCUAUCAGAUCAGUGAUAAAAAGGUCCAUCCUAUCAGAUCAGCGUGAUAAAAAGGUCCAUCCUAUCAGAUCAGCGUGAUAAAAAGGUCCAUCCUAUCAGAUCUGCGUGAUAAAAAGGUCCAUCCUAUCAGAUCAGUGAUAAAAAGGUCCAUCCUAUCAGAUCUGCGUGAUAAAAAGGUCCAUCCUAUCAGAUCAGUGAUAAAAAGGUCCAUCCUAUCAGAUCAGUGAUAAAA
This is a long non-coding RNA of Oncorhynchus tshawytscha (Chinook salmon), 543 nucleotides long. The record is from Ensembl. Lineage: Eukaryota; Metazoa; Chordata; Actinopteri; Salmoniformes; Salmonidae.